GUAGGUAGGGGAUCAGAUAUGGCAAAGGGAGACCUCCUGAAGAACUAGAUUCCAGAGAAUCAAACAAAAAGCGUUAUCUUGAUGAUACUGAAUAUUUGUUUUGAGAUUUAUAUAUUACAGAAUGUACAGCUUUGGUGAGUCUUAUCGUCAGACAUGCUGAACUGACCUGCUUGAACUUCUGACCUCUGGGAUUUUCAGCUGGAUUCAGUGAGGACACAGACAUCAGAGACUACAAUAAUUGUUGGUGUGGCCCUCUUAAAGCCAAACAACUCACUCAUUUUCCCUACCCUCCUCAAAGAUAUCUCAAUGCACAUAUACAGCUGUAGUAGGGAGACCUCAAACUCAGAGUUCCACCUGCCUCUGGCUCUCCACUGCUGGAAUUAAAGGACUCCAUGAACACUUUGCUUCAGAUCCAGCGACUGUAAUCGAAGCAACUGGCCAGACCCUUCUGCAUUUUUUAGCAACUCUGGUCGAGGGAAACACAGGAAGGACUCCAAAAGCCUGUCCAUAGCAGAAUUCAAGAGGUUUCAGAAGUCCUGAGAAGCAGGAGAACAGAAAAAAAAUGGAAGUAGAAUCUUGAUUGAUGAGACAAUAAAUAAGAGUGUAGGGGAGAAGCUGCAGAAACUGUGGUGGCUGCAAGUGAGGCCUCCUCAUGUCACUGACUUGAAAGCAAAGCUGUAGAGAUGUUGAGUUUAACUGCAGAAGCAAAGAGCAGAAUCUGGCCUGAAUGAAGGGACUAAAGGUCCGAUGGAUGGCAGGUUCAGAUGAUUGAACAUGAAGAAAUGUAGACAAUGGUGUGACAUAGAAGGAGAUGUCGGUCAUCACAUUACAAGGUCAGCCAGGAGAGGAUCCCGGGCAGUGUUGUGAAACUGACAUGGGACACCUUACAUUGUGAAAUGAAGUCGGGGAAUCUGGAAAACAGAAGUGAAGUUAAAUGUGUCCUGGUGCCAUUUUCCUCUGAGCAGGAAGUGUUUGCCUAUUCUCUGAUCCUUGCAGCAAUCCUUCAUAAACGCCAACUCUUCAGAAAGAAGCAGUCAUCAAACCUGGACACUGAUCACACCCCAUCCAGUAAGGCCAGGGGAAGAACAAAAGCAACUCACAGACACCAGUGCUGACUUAAAGGAUAGGAAUGGCCCCCAAAUUCCUGCAAAGAUUCUGUCUGCAGUCAAACUUCCCGUGUAGACUGACAUUAGAGUUUCCACUGGAUGCUUCUUAAAUGUUUUUCCAUUCUGUCAGCUUUUGUUUAUGUGCUGCUGUGGGUUGGUGCACCUGCACUUUCUGCAGGAUUCCGAAGAGGUCAGAGCUGUUACAUCCCACCUGGACCUGGAGUGACUGGAAGUUCUGUGGCAUCUCUAGUGCAUGCUGGAAACUGUGCUGAGGUUCUGUGUAAGAGCAGUGUGUACUAACCACUGAGCCAGCUCCCCAAGCUCUUAACUCAUGCUAAGGAGAACCCAGACCCCAAUGGUCAUGCUUGUGCCUCAGGAGUUUGAGAUCCACUGCUGCAGGAUGUUGUAUUGCUUUACUGAAGGGAACUGCUGAGCUAUCCGUGAUUCUCCUGUAUCAUCAUCCAUUUAAUAAAUGCAGCUCCAGGAGAUCUGCUUCGUGAGACAGAUAUGUUCAAGUGAUUUUGGUUGCUUGACUAGACUUAUGUUCAUGAAUGCCUCCAAAAAAUAUAUGUAUGUCCCCUG
Rattus norvegicus (Norway rat) is the source of this 1688-nucleotide non-coding RNA. The record is from RefSeq and is a predicted model, not a curated record. NCBI's taxonomy places the organism in Eukaryota, Metazoa, Chordata, Mammalia, Rodentia, Muridae.